UACAUACUUCCUUCAUCCGGAAAUAUUUGUCAUUGAAAUGGAUGUAUCUAGAUGUAUUUUACUUCUAGAUAUAUCCAUUUUCAUCCAUUUUGAUGACAAGUAAUUUCGGACGGAGGAAGUACUAC
Non-coding RNA from Triticum aestivum (bread wheat), 125 nucleotides. NCBI's taxonomy places the organism in Eukaryota, Viridiplantae, Streptophyta, Magnoliopsida, Poales, Poaceae. The record is from Rfam.